CUUUAGGUCACUGGCCUUUUUCUUACUGAUCUCUUUGAACCACAAAUGGUUUCCUAAAACUAAGCAAUGCAAACAGACGUGCUUCAGGAAGAAUGGCCUGAGAACGGUGAAAAGUCUACUAUUUAAAAUCCUUCAUAAGUGAAGACUGCUUCCUCUCAGUUUUAUGUUCUGCAAUUUCUCGACAAUAUGCCAAGUUAUGCCCAGGAUGUAGAGACCUGCUCCCAUCCAGACAAGAAGGAAGAGCCAGGUGCUCAUCGGAAGGAUGGAAGACAGAAAAUCUUCCUCAGUGGGGAGGACCUAGAGCACGGGAGUGGGAAAAUAGAUCCCUACUCUCUAUGGAACAAAAGUAUCAAACAACUGGGGUAGAGGCAACAAGUCUUGUCAUCCCCAGGGAAGGGGUGGAGACCCACUGAAGCUAAGGAAGUGUACAGAAAAUACUUUCUGGCUGCCAAGAGCACAAAUGUGAGGGCUGGAGCUCCAGCAGUCAUUUUGGCCACAAGAUGAUAGACUUUGGAGGCUGUGAAUAGGAUGGUGGGGCAGAGAGAAGGAACCAAAUUCCCUGAUGAUGACCAGCCCAGCC
Long non-coding RNA from Dama dama (fallow deer), 580 nucleotides. RefSeq lists it as uncharacterized. Lineage: Eukaryota; Metazoa; Chordata; Mammalia; Artiodactyla; Cervidae. The transcript is spliced from 4 exons. The record is from RefSeq and is a predicted model, not a curated record.